CCCUUAGAUGUUCUGGGCUGCACGCGCGCUACACUGAAGCGUUCAACGAGUAUUCACCUUGCCCGGGAGGGUUGGGUAAUCUUUUGAAAACGCUUCGUGAUGGGGAUAGAUUAUUGCAAUUAUUAAUCUUCAACGAGGAAUUCCUAGUAAGCGCGAGUCAUCAGCUCGUGCUGAUUACGUCCCUGCCCUUUGUACACACCGCCCGCCGCUCCUACCGAUUGAGUGAUCCGGUGAAUAAUUCGGACUGCAGCACUGCUUGGUCUCCAGGCUUUGCAGCGGAAAGUCUAGUGAACCUUAUCACUUAGAGGAAGGAGAAGUCGUAACA
Molecule: ribosomal RNA, 325 nt
Filed under: uncultured eukaryote
Lineage: Eukaryota
Description: partial 18S ribosomal RNA
Rfam family: Eukaryotic small subunit ribosomal RNA
Source: RNAcentral